Molecule: ribosomal RNA, 481 nt
Filed under: uncultured bacterium
Lineage: Bacteria
Description: partial 16S ribosomal RNA
Rfam family: Bacterial small subunit ribosomal RNA
Source: RNAcentral
GAUGAACGCUGGCGGCGUGCUUAACACAUGCAAGUCGAACGAAGCACUUUAUUUGAUUUCCUUCGGGACUGAUUAUUUUGUGACUGAGUGGCGGACGGGUGAGUAACGCGUGGGUAACCUGCCUUGUACAGGGGGAUAACAGUUGGAAACGGCUGCUAAUACCGCAUAAGCGCACGGCAUCGCAUGAUGCAGUGUGAAAAACUCCGGUGGUAUAAGAUGGACCCGCGUUGGAUUAGCUAGUUGGUGAGGUAACGGCCCACCAAGGCGACGAUCCAUAGCCGACCUGAGAGGGUGACCGGCCACAUUGGGACUGAGACACGGCCCAAACUCCUACGGGAGGCAGCAGUGGGGAAUAUUGCACAAUGGGCGAAAGCCUGAUGCAGCGACGCCGCGUGAGCGAAGAAGUAUUUCGGUAUGUAAAGCUCUAUCAGCAGGGAAGAUAAUGACGGUACCUGACUAAGAAGCACCGGCUAACUACGUG